RNAcentral lists this microRNA precursor (84 nucleotides) under Bombyx mori (domestic silkworm). RNAcentral describes it as "mir-2807 microRNA precursor family". It matches the Rfam family "mir-2807 microRNA precursor family". Lineage: Eukaryota; Metazoa; Arthropoda; Insecta; Lepidoptera; Bombycidae. The record is from Rfam by way of RNAcentral.
UUAACUCAUAUUUGUAUGGAAUGGGAUCGUUAGCCUACGUUUGCCGCUAGGGGCGCUGUUCCAACUGCAUACAAAACUGGGCUA